This 479-nucleotide ribosomal RNA is filed under the name uncultured bacterium. RNAcentral describes it as "bacterial SSU rRNA". It matches the Rfam family "Bacterial small subunit ribosomal RNA", at positions 26 to 518 of the family's 1533-position model. The record is from RNAcentral.
AGGACGAACGCUGGCGGCGUGCCUAACACAUGCAAGUCGAACGGACGAGAGGAGCUUGCUCCUCAAGUUAGUGGCGGACGGGUGAGUAACACGUGAGCAACCUGCCCUUCGGAGGGGGACAACAGCUGGAAAACGGCUGCUAAUACCGCAUGAUACAGUCUGGAGGCAUCUCCGGACUGUCAAAGAUUUUAUCGCCGAAGGAUGGGCUCGCGUCUGAUUAGAUAGUUGGUGGGGUAACGGCUCACCAAGUCGACGAUCAGUAGCCGGACUGAGAGGUUGAACGGCCACAUUGGGACUGAGAUACGGCCCAGACUCCUACGGGAGGCAGCAGUGGGGAAUAUUGGGGCAAGUGGGGGCAACCCUGACCCAGCAACGCCGCGUGGAGGAAGAAGGCUUUCGGGUUGUAAACUCCUUUGACGAGGGACGAUAGUGACGGUACCUCGAAAACAAGCCACGGCUAACUACGUGCCAGCCGCCGC